RNAcentral lists this ribosomal RNA (436 nucleotides) under uncultured bacterium. RNAcentral's name for it is "partial 16S ribosomal RNA". It matches the Rfam family "Bacterial small subunit ribosomal RNA", at positions 29 to 506 of the family's 1533-position model. The record is from RNAcentral.
AGCGAACGCUGGCGGCAGGCUUAACACAUGCAAGUCGAGCGGGCAUCCUUGUGGUGUCAGCGGCAGACGGGUGAGUAACGCGUGGGAACGUGCCCUUCGGUUCGGAAUAACUCAGGGAAACUUGAGCUAAUGCCGGAUACGUGCGAGAGCAGAAAGGUUUAUCUGCCGAAGGAUCGGCCCGCGUCUGAUUAGCUAGUUGGUGAGGUUAUGGCUCACCAAGGCGACGAUCAGUAGCUGGUCUGAGAGGAUGAUCAGCCACACUGGGACUGAGACACGGCCCAGACUCCUACGGGAGGCAGCAGUGGGGAAUAUUGGACAAUGGGGGCAACCCUGAUCCAGCCAUGCCGCGUGAGUGAUGACGGCCUUAGGGUUGUAAAGCUCUUUUCUUCGGGACGAUAAUGACGGUACCGGAGGAAUAAGCCCCGGCUAACUUCGU